Molecule: long non-coding RNA, 8614 nt
Organism: Hydractinia symbiolongicarpus
Lineage: Eukaryota; Metazoa; Cnidaria; Hydrozoa; Anthoathecata; Hydractiniidae
Exons: 4
Source: RefSeq, a predicted model, not a curated record
UUCACAAGAAAAUCUUUCUAAUUCUAAUCUUUAACUAGAACACAGCAGACUUUAACUGCGUCCUACAGGACGAACUAUGAUCUGAGCGACGCGUCUGUUUACGUGAAUGUCUCGGGGCGAGAAACACGGCGAAAGGUGCUUCUAUGCCCGUGAACAAGAAAAUAUAACAGCAGGUAGCAGUCACUGAUGCUUACUGCCCUUGUUCUGUUAAUAAUCCAUGGGAGUAGCUCAUUUUGACCCAGUUGUAAAUAAAAGAAGUGCUGCAAUGAACAGUUCUGGUAAGUUAAUAAAUAAGGUAGCAUUUGCUUAUUUGUAUAAAAUCUCGCUAGUAUUAGUAGAGAACGAUCUCGUAUGUCGUUUGCAAGUAGCAAAAGAAAACGAUGUAGUAAUGUUACGCACACAUUUGGCAGUCAAGUAUGUCCGAUGGGUGUCCUGGGACUAUACUCGUCUAUGUGUACAAGUGAAAACAUGACUAAAAGUAAUUGAUUGUAGCAUAUGUUGUCAUUAUAUAGUAGACAUUAAUCACUGAGCAUGGCAGUAAACAUAGAUGUGUCAAAGCGGUAGGUUAGAGUAAAAGCAAUACCAAGAUUCUUUUCAGGAAUAUAUAGACUGCGACUAGGACUAGGUGACGCCGGUUUUUACCUCAAAGGUGCACUUAAAUACCGUUCUAUUGACUAAACAAGGGCUUAAUUUCUUUUUUGCGAGGUUAGUAAAAUAUUCGCAAAAGAAAAUGUACGAUGGAACUGCUUUUUCAUUUUCUUGACGAGAAAAAACGGAAAUAGUCGUGUUACUAUUCUUUUCCGUUUGUUUAUUAAUUUUCCAAAUUUAGAGUUUUAAACUCCAGCUAAACAAUAACAAACAAGCAUCAAUUCCGUUAUGUUUAUACCUUUUUCCAAUUGUUGUUUCAAAACUUAUUUUUUCAUUAUAUAUAUUUAUUUUUGCUCAAUUGAUUGCUAAAGCAACAAACUUUGUGGAUUGUAUUUACAAGAAAAGGAACAAAAGUGGUUGCUAUGUUGAUAUUGAAAACAAAAUUAGAUACAUACAAAUAAAUAAUUUUGUUGAUGUCUAUGUUAGAGUGCUAUGGUUAGAGAUAGUCAAACUGUUAUUACAACUCCACAAAAAGGAUUAACGAAAAUUAUGAAACCGGAGAUUUAGUACUACGAAUUAAAAUAUUCUUGUGUUCACGGUGGAAGAAAACUCAAAGGAAGAGGUUCUUGACAACGAGCUGUUCAGUAUAUGUUUUGUUUUUAUUAAUUACCAACCUCGUUUCCAGACCUUUUUUAUUACUUUGUUCUACUAACCGAACUUUUAUAUUUUUUUUAGUACUAUAAAGCAAGACUGCAAGUUUUCACUUCCUUAGCGAGUAGAUGAAUCUGGACAAUUUUAAGAAGUCAUAGAAAUUCACGCAUAAUCACGAAUUAAAUGCGAUAACAAAUCAAAGUUGGACGUAAAAUGCGCUGUUUGGAAAUUUGACCUGUCGUUUGUCCCAGGAUUUAUGAAGAUUAAUUCAACAGUUGAAGGGUGGAAAUAAAUCCGACAAAAUAGGCAUCUAUGUCAUGUGUUAAUUUUAUAAACAACCCAAAAAUUUUGCUGAUCCUAAACUGUUCCUCACUUGUUUAUUCUUGACUAUCUAUCUACAAACGAAAGACGGCAGACCAUUUGGAACCAUGCCACAAGUCAGUCCGACCUUCAUCGUCACAGAGAAUACUGCGAGAAGAGUGCGCACCCAUGCAAGUUAAAUAAAACCAGAACAUGGGAGAGGUUAGGUUCUGUGAAAUUAACUUUUUAGACGAAUGUUCCUAUAAACAAUUAUCAUACCGACGAGAGUGCUUGGGAUGGGUCGUUAGCUUAAUUAUUUGUUUUAUAUAAUAUUUUUAACUCUUUUUACUUUCGUCUACCUGACCACAUGAUAUGUUUAAAGUUCAUAUCGCUUUACUUACGUAAAAGCCCAUAUGGCUGUAAUUGAAUAUGUUUUGUUUUUAGUUUCGUGUAUUAGGCCACGAUAUUGUCUAUGCGUAAAAUCAUCUAGCGUAAACACACUCCUUCGUAUAAUUCAAAAAUAAUUUUUAUCUUUUUUAGUACACACCUAUUUUGUAUUUAUCUGUCAGAAAACUUACCUUAUUGUUUUCAUUGAACGCUCGCUUCUAUUAUUUAGGCUUCUUUACGAUUGAAUCCAAGUCCCCAAUCUCUGUAAUUAAAAAAACAAUCUAACACUAUUACUUUUUUUCGGUUACCCUGACAACUUAUCGCUAUCACUUUCGUCUACUUGACCAUAUAAUGACGUAUAUUCAUUAUACGCAUUGUGAUCAAAUGUCUAUAUGAUCACAAUGACACCAGCCAUUUAAACAUUUACGGUUUCAAGCUUUUUUAAUUUUCUGAUACAUGGGAUAAAAAAUAAUAUUAAAUAAUAUACGUUAAUGAUAUAAUACAAAUUUUCAAUUUUCAAUAGAAGUACGUGCUCUUUCUUCGUAUAUGCUAAGAAAGGAGAAGUUUGGAAUGCAAACAUGUUCAAGUGUUUAUUUAUUUAGCUACACAUCUUGUCAUAACCAUUGUCAUAAGAUGACAAUGAGUCAUCAUUUUUUAAUUUUUCGCACUAUAACGUUUUUGUCAUCAACUAAUUUUUUUUGGAACGUAUGUGAAAAUACAGUACCAGUGCUUUAACUCUGCUCCCCUCCAUAACUUUUAAUAUUCUUUUCCAAGUGCGACUAAACUUGAUACAAAAUGGAUGCACUGUGUUAAAGGUGCUUUUUUGUUGUUACAUAUGAUUAUAGAUACAGGAAAAACACCAUAUUUAUUGCGGCAAAUCCCUGUUCUUUCCAAAAUAACUACGCAGUGCCUCCAGAGCGUACCACUCACUGCUGACAUCGGCCGAGCCGGAAGACUCGACCUAGCAGUUCGCGGUAUAGCUCGUUCUAUAUCUAACUAAAUCUAAUCUAUCAUAUACUAUUUACAACAUACCGAAUGAUGCUAACGAGUUCGUUCAAGCGAUUAGCGUCCUGUUGUUAUAUUACUGUGCUAUUUGACAGCUUUCACUCACGUUAUGUACAGUUCCUGAUGAAGUAUCUCAUUGCAACAUUACCCUCUCUGUCACAUAAGUCUGUCCCCAGACUCCAAUAAAAGACAUUUACGUCACGCAAAAUCUGAAGUCUAUGUACAACAUUCUUUUUCUCAUUAACCACAUUACGGGUUCAUAUCCCCAUGUAUCACGGCUUCAUUUUUUUCUCUUUAACGAAAAUGUUUCAAUGUCGUUUAUCAUCAGCUUUUCUGUCAUCACGAUUUUUAAUUCCAGCCUCAUAUCAAAGAAACGUUUCAAUAAUAUUUAUAUCUUGUCAUUGUUAUCACUGAACAUCAAGUAAAUAAUUUCUGAGCACUAUAAGAUAGUUAAUUGCUUCUCCGAUAUCUGCCUCGGGACGGCUAAUUCUCCGAUAUCUGCCUCGGGACGGCUAAUUCUCCGAUAUCUGCCUCGGGACGGCUAAAUCUCCGAUAUCUGCCUCGGGACGGCUAAUUCUCCGAUAUCUGCCUCGGAACGGCGAAAAGUAUUAACUAUUCAAUAUUACCCAAAUAGUGUUUCUUAACGAUCAGUGAAGGUCGACAAAGUCAUAUAUUAUCGUAUCAUUAUUUCUUUUUUUAGCAUUAGCUGCCACCAUCAAAAUUUCGUCUUUCAGCUUCAGCAAUUCAUAACAGGAGAUUCCGGCUGGUUAUCAUUAGUCUAUACAGACCUAAACCAGUUAACGUAUCAGGGCAGUGCCUCCAAUGUUAAAGGUGCUUUUUUGUUGUUACAUAUGAUUAUAGAUACAGGAAAAACACCAUAUUUAUUGCGGCAAAUCCCUGUUCUUUCCAAAAUAACUACGCAGUGCCUCCAGAGCGUACCACUCACUGUUGACAUCGGCCGAGCCGGAAGGCUUGACCUAGCAGUUCGCGGUAUAGCUCGUUCUAUAUCUAACUAAAUCUAAUCUAUCAUACACUAUUUACAACAUACCGAAUGAUGCUAACGAGUUCGUUCAAGCGAUUAGCGUCCUGUUGUUAUAUUACUGUGCUAUUUGACAGCUUUCACUCACGUUUUGUACAGUUCAAACCCCGGCCGAGUCAUGCCAGAGACUAUAAAAGUGUGAAUCUAUUCUUUCUGCUUAGCGCUCAGCAUGAGAAUAGGAUUGAUAUCUUAGGCGGUUGUCUAGUUGAGCGAUUGCUGUGCUUGCACGACUUUCGUAGCUCAAAUGGGAGCUUUAAAUGCGCUAGGACCCCCUUCGCAGGACCCUCGGUGAUAGCAGUACCAAUAGGAACUGAAGAGGCUAUCCUGGGUAAAUAAUAGUAAUAAAAAUAAUAAUAAUAAUAAUAAUAAUAAAGUAUCUCAUUGUAACAACUGGUACCUGCUUAAAAUUUAAUUCCUUUAAUUUUUAAUGAUAGGCAAACUCGUUAUUUAAAAUAUUUUUUCUUUUUUAAUUUUCGAAGAAAAUCCGAAAAAAUCGGGAAGUCGGGUUAAUAAAUACAAAACAAGAUUAUUCCCCUUGACGAAAUAUAGUUGUGUUAAGAGUUUAAUGUUUUUAAGAUAAGAAUUUCUUUUAAAUGUAAGGGGUAUUUUUGAGUAAUAGUCAAUACAUACCACUCUGAGAGGGUUAAAAAGGAUUUUUGGUACUCUGUUUAUACUAAGCAAUAAAUAGGGCGACUUUUUGUUUGAAAUUUAUAUCUAUUCAAGUGUUUAUUUGUUUAAUUGCACACAGCUUAUCAUAAGAUGGCAUGAGUCAGUUCUUGUACUUUCUGUAUCGAUUUCUCUUAUCAAAAUCUAUACUUGACCGAACUUUCGCUAUUUUAUUGAAACUUGCCAUUUCAUUUUCCAAUAUCCUAUAGUUACAGUUUCUAUAACCGUCAUGACAACAACAAUGACAAUAAGUUUGUACUUUUGUUUUAUUUUCAACGUCAACUUAGACCAAACAGACUAAGCAUAAACAAAAUUCAAUACAAAUAAAAGAAGUUGUCUGGAAUGUAAACAUAUAUAAAUGUUGAUUUGCAUUCUUACGUAACAUUUGUCACGAGAUAAUGACAACGCAGUUAUUGUACUUUGUACCUAGUACUCUUCUCACGAACUAAGUUUGAAAUUUGUAUGGGCGAAUAUUUUUCAUAACGUUUUUUUACAAUUCUGCAUAAUGGACAUGCUUUAAUGUUUCAUUGUUCAGUUCAAAAAGGUAUAUGUACUAGUUAUCGCACAGUGCCGAGAAAAGUUUUGGCAAAUUAAUUAUUAUUUUAAUUAAUUAUCAUUAAUUAAUUAUCAUUGCUUUCUAGCACGGAUUCUGACUUAGAGGCGUUCAGUCAUAAUCCAACAGAUGGUAGCUUCGCACCAUUGCUUUUUCAAGCAAGUGCAAAUGCCAAUUGUCUGAAUCUGCGGUUCCUCUCGUACUGAGCAGAAUUACUAUUGCAACAACACUUCAUCAGUAGGGUAAAACUAACCUGCGAUAUCUUGUUUAUCAUGUACUCGGUCUUAUAUGAUGUUAAUUUCACAUAGUCGGUUGCACACUGCUUAAUUAUGUUCGCGAUAUUAACAAGCAUUGUUAUGGGGGCCACUAAAAUCACUGCAAGAUAAUUUAUUUAAUUUGUAUUCAUGAAUUUAUUUGAGUUUAUGAAGUCACGUGCGUUUUAGAUCAUUAUAACAAGUUAUGUUCAUGUCACGCUGAAUGGAAAUAAAAACUAUUAAUUUUUAAAAGAAUAAAUUAUUAUUGUUAAGCCAAAUAACACAGAACUCCAUCGUUGUGCUAUAAUAUUAUUCUUUUAAGUUGACUAUAAUAGUUGAACAUAAUUCAAUUGUUUUUUUUCAUAGCCGGUGGGGAGCGCGUGCUCUAUGAUUAAUGACUAUUUAAUGACUAUUGAAACAAAACAAAAUUUACGAAUCAUAAAAUGAAUAUUUGUGAAAAUAAAUUCACCUAUUCACCGACCGUUUUCGGUUUUAAGAACAUAAUAGGCUUUUCCUACGAAUUUUCAACCAAUCAAGGAAAAAAUAUAAGCUUUUUGCACGCUAAAUCAGCCAAUGAAAGGAAGAAUAUAAGCUUUUUGCACUCUAUAUAAGUAUAAACUGCACUCUUUUCUCGGUUGAAAAACAAAAUACAGCUUAAGUUUUUAAAACUUAAGAACAAACUUGUAAGACUAGAAAGUAUCAAAAAUUAUAUUCAGGCUUAAGUACAGUCACGACUAAAGACAAAAAAAACAAAUAAACGAAGAGAAAAAGAAAGAAAAAUAAAAAUAAUAAAUUGGUAAACUUGCCUUAGGACCUGUCAUUUAUUUCAAAAAUCUGUAUGGCUUUCCUCACUGAAAGGUGAAGUUUUUUUCUAACAAUUGACCAAGCCCGUCUAAUUUUAUUGAUUGUCACGAGUUCUAUGAUUGGUUUCAUAAAGAGCCAUCUCUUUGUUCACAAUGUUAUAAAAACAUUCCCUAGUAACGUAAUACAAAACCUAUUGUGAAUGUGAUAACCAAUCCAAUCCAUUUUCAUAUUUACGGUAUCCGUAUAUUAUUGUAAACAGAGAUCACAUGAUUGCAGCAUUUUUUAGCUCUGCUAUGAUUAAGAUUACCAUGGUACAUUAUCCGUUAUCAUAUCUUUUGUUAACUUACCUUAUCAAUAAAGAAAGGUGGUUAAAAAGUGACUACAUGUUUGCUAGGCAACCAAUGUUUUUGCCGUUUCUUAUUUGGCAUUUCUUAUUUUCUGCCCAAUUUUUUUGCCCCUUUUUCAAUUCAGUAUCUACAUGUGAAACCAUGACAGCAAUAAAAAAACCAUAAAAAACAGAUUAGUAUCAGUCUCUGUGCUAACUAACGUGACCAGUGAGUGUAGUUGAGCAGAGGGAAAUGGAAGCAGAAAAUAUGUUUAAAUGAAAGUAAAAGAAAAAUUAAUUAUUAAUAUUGACGGAUUUAUAGACAGACUUCAUUGUCCUCUUCUUUCAACUUCUUAUAGAGGAAAAAGACGUUUUAAAUCAUUGGAAAUUCAAACUUCUGUUUUGUUUUUAAAAACCUGAAUCGUCAUUCAUAUUUGUAUUCAUAUAACUUAACGCAACAAGACCGAAACAAACGUCACAAUUGUAAACACAACAUAUAUGUUUACAUUCCAUGUAUUUUGAAAUGGUCUUAGCUGUCAAAAUUAGACAAACAUUUAAAAUAUCCGUUUUUUAAGUUGUACAAAGUUAAACACUUUGAAAAGCUUUAUUAGCCAGAAUCACACUGAAAUUAGUAUGGAAAAAUAUGCUGCCUUCAAGUUACCGUCCCUUAGCUUUAAUUGGAAGUCUCAUUAAAAUCAAGUUGUUAUUAGAAACAGUGACGCAUUUAGUUGUCAUUCAAUAUGAACACUCAAACUUCUAAAUACAUCUAUCAGAUUGUUUCAAAAAUACAUUAUAGGGUGUUUAUUUUGUAAAAUUCCUUGCAAUAAUAACCUAAGAAUCUGAAAGUAAAAGUUUCAAAAGCCUCUUCAACUUUUGUCUUGUUUAACCCUGUUCUCUCUUGUUUAAUCCUGUUUUGUCUUGUUUAACACUUUUUUGUCUUGUUUAACCCUGACUGGUGCAUUAAGAUAUAUAGGAGAGAUCUUUUUGUUUGUCUCUUAAUAAUAUAUGUUUUGCAAAUGUUAUGAUUUCGGUGUUUCGAUUUACUUUCAAAACUUGAGUAAACUUCUUCCAGUUACUUUAUUCAAAGAUUUCGAAGAUAUAAACCUUAAAUACCUUUUUGCGUGAACAAAAUCUUAAGAACUUGUCUUAGAACCAAAUAUAAAUGAACUAACCAGACCCGAAGUUAAUGUAAGAAAAAAAGCGUCGUGUGGUUCUUAACAAUACCUAAAAUGUAGACAUGAUUAUUCUGGUCGAAUAAUAAUUUUCUAAUGACGUCAUUGCAAAAGUGCCGACGUAACCUUAACUUUAACUGCAUUUCCUCUUUUCUAAAGACUGUUAAUAAGAUUUGCGAAAAAUCCAACAACUGAUAGCAACUAUAUUUUUUUUUAAUUGGGAUGCAAAACCUAACGGUGUGUUAAUCAAGGCAAAGCUGUUUAGUUAUAAUUUUCUGGUUGUCACAAAAAAACAGUAGUUGUACAAGACACAUUAUCUUAUAUUUGAGAACCAAUUAUGUAGGAACAUUAGGUUUUAAAUCUUGCCAAAAAUAGGGACCGAUUAAAAGGGUACGAAACAGCUCAAGUAAGAUCUCCGUCAUUAAUGUCACUCUCCAUCCUUUCACAUACUUAAUAUAAUUGUUUAAUCACCAGGCCAAGGUUGAGCUACAAGAAAUUAUUUUUUAAGAAAAAAGCAAUCUAGCUUGGGUCGAAGAACUUUAGAGUUUUAAUAGGAAAAUUGACUUAAAGACACCGUAAUGGUUCAAAAACAUAUUCGGAUAGUCAUUAUUUCAUAAGUUCUUUUUUUACAAAACUAUUUAAUUACUAAAAUAUUAGAUAUAAAAGCAAAUUAAAUUGUCUAUAAUAAGUUCAUAACAAACAAAGGUCUGCAUUUUGAAAAUAUAAAAGGUCAAACAAAAACCACAAUCUCAAUCUCAGAAGAAUCAAAUUCACAAUACCUUCCAAUGUAUAACAAUAAUGUUAAAUUUUAAUGACAUCAUUUAGAAAUGCAGUAUCAACAUGGCACAAUAAGUUUUGUUGAACGCUGGU